GAGAGCGGCGCACGGGUGAGUAACGCGUACGCAACUUACCCUUGAGCGGGGAAUAGCCCUGGGAAACUGGGAUUAAUGCCCCAUAGUUUUAUUUGAAGGCAUCUUCGAAUAAAUAAAGUUGAGACGCUCAAGGAUAGGCGUGCGUCUGAUUAGCUAGUUGGUAGGGUAACGGCCUACCAAGGCUACGAUCAGUAGGGGGCGUGAGAGCGUGAUCCCCCACACGGGUACUGAGACACGGACCCG
RNAcentral lists this ribosomal RNA (243 nucleotides) under uncultured bacterium. Its description in RNAcentral is "partial 16S ribosomal RNA". It matches the Rfam family "Bacterial small subunit ribosomal RNA", at positions 91 to 334 of the family's 1533-position model. The record is from RNAcentral.